This 253-nucleotide unclassified non-coding RNA is filed under the name uncultured Verrucomicrobiota bacterium. RNAcentral's name for it is "uncultured Verrucomicrobia bacterium contains 16S-23S intergenic spacer region". It matches the Rfam family "Bacterial small subunit ribosomal RNA", at positions 524 to 776 of the family's 1533-position model. The record is from RNAcentral. Lineage: Bacteria; Pseudomonadati; Verrucomicrobiota.
UACAGAGGUCCCAAGCGUUGUUCGGAUUCACUGGGCGUAAAGGGUGCGUAGGUGGUCGGGUAAGUCUGAUGUGAAAGCUCUGAGCUCAACUCAGAAAUGGCAUUGGAUACUAUUCGGCUAGAGAGUCGGAGGGGGGACUGGAAUCCUCGGUGUAGCAGUGAAAUGCGUAGAUAUCGAGAGGAACACCAGUGGCGAAGGCGAGUCCCUGGACGACUUCUGACACUGAGGCACGAAAGCUAGGGGAGCAAACAGG